This is a long non-coding RNA of Pongo pygmaeus (Bornean orangutan), 1230 nucleotides long. RefSeq lists it as uncharacterized. NCBI's taxonomy places the organism in Eukaryota, Metazoa, Chordata, Mammalia, Primates, Hominidae. The record is from RefSeq and is a predicted model, not a curated record. The transcript is spliced from 3 exons.
GCACCUCUGUGAAGCAACAGAAAAAUGUUUCAAUGAAAAGUGAAUCCAGAGAUAUACCUAUCUGGAUCAUUAAGCCUCUCAAUAACAACUCUAAAACUCUAUUCCUCUAUUUCCCACAUUCCUCUAUUUCUUCCAAGUUAAUCCUGUCUGAUAAGCAUUAUCAGUGAAUUUGGAAAGUAUUAUAAAAAGAGAAUAGAAAGGCAAGAAAUCUUAAUACAGGAUCUAGAAUAAUACGGCAUUAGCACUGUUAACUGAAUUAAAACUGUAUGAAACAGGCAAAAGUCUUAGGCAAGCAGGUAAGGGAACCAAAACCACCCUUAAAGCAGUCGCCAGUGAUACUAAUAGCACUUACUAACCGAAUAUGAUAUGAGUAACAAAAACAUAUAGGGUCUCACAGUUACUAAAUGUUCAUCAGUGGGAUCACCAUGAAAAUCUUCUGGAAAUAGUUUAUGGAUAUACCACUUAGCCCUCAAAAAAUUAAGUUUCUUCUAGGGUUUUUCUAGAUUAUACAACUAUUUUAUGCUGUACCAUAUAAUUUAAUGUUGGCUUAUAUACUGUCUUUUAUGUACUCAAUGUUCUUUCCCAUAUAUAUGUAAGCUUUCACUUCUCAACUGGAUUUUAAGGUCCCUAUCUUCUACUUUUGUCUUUCCCAUGGUGCCAGGCACACAGUAGGCACUGAAUAAAUGCAUGCUGACCUCACCUGUUAAGUUUUUCAGAGAAGAGGGCCUGGCCUGUGUAACUUGGGUGAAAUUUCUAUACCAGAGAGAAGCAAGUGUUUCCUAGAGAGCCCUUUCUUUUCUCCAGAAGAUAUGGCUUUUGAAGAAAUGGGGCUUCACUGUGUUGCCCAGGCUGGUCUCGAACUCGUGGGCUAAAGUGAUCUGCUCGCCUCAGCCUCCCAAAGUGCCGAGAUUACAGGCAUAAACCACUGCGCCCUGCCAACAAUGACAACCUAACAGCAACAGGCACAUGGCACCCAGACUGUGGUUCCAACUAUAAGGAACCAGGACUCCAUGGAGGAAUAGCUGAUUCCAAGUCCAAGGCAUAAGCAGAGCUCAAAAAAAAGGAAAGAAUACCUGCUCUUGUUAGGUUAAGAAGAAUAAAAGAAGUGCUAUCACUUGGCUGUAGAUCUUGCAACAAGCUAGAAGACUCUGAAGUGGACAAAAACUCCGAGGAUUUCUGUACAGUCUGAGCUCUCGUCUCCUCUCCGUCUGGACCCACAUUCACCCGAAG